Long non-coding RNA from Culex pipiens pallens (northern house mosquito), 944 nucleotides. RefSeq lists it as uncharacterized. Lineage: Eukaryota; Metazoa; Arthropoda; Insecta; Diptera; Culicidae. The transcript is spliced from 2 exons. The record is from RefSeq and is a predicted model, not a curated record.
UGGAACAAACAGGGGGACGAAACGCAUAACAAUUUGUAGCUUGAAUUUGUGUAGCCAACAUGAACGUAUGCUUUGCCUUGUAUUCUACAGGCGGGCCCACACAAUACAAGGAUGAUGGCAGUUACGCAAUGUGUGAUAUUUGCAUCCCUUUGUACAAACUGUAGAGUAAACUGUCAGUCUCAGGUUUGUUUAUAAACAAAAUUGAAGUUUUGGAAAGAAAUUUUUAGAUCAUGUGGCAAAUUAAUAGUACAGCUGGAGCUCGAAUGCGGUACUGCCGAGGGAGUGCAAGAAAAAGAGGCCCUGCUGACUGGUUCCCUGAUUGGCCAACUUGCGGAUGCUGAUUACCUCCAAAUCGACGAUUUCCAUGCUGAUGGUGUAGUGGCCACUGGCGUAGUUGUUGGUGGCAUCCUGAUUGCCGGUGACCAGCUUCUCCAGGUGACACAGAUGGCCAUUCGUUCCGCUGUGGACUUUGGUUACCACGGUCAGUUGCAGAACUUAGACUACGACAGGCGGAACGGUUGAGGCUAUUCCGCGGACUUAUCACUUCAAAAACACCAGCUCCGUUACCGUUACUCGUAGGAUUAUAUCGCCAUCUAAUCCACCCGGGGCAACUGAUCAAGGAGGAUGCCACCAACAAAAACGUACGUGGCCACUACUCGUGGCAAUCGUCGACGUGGUGGUGAAUCGCAAGCAGGCCAACAAGAGUUCUUGGCUGCAGGUUUCCUAAUCUUGAACGUGAUUGGCAAUCGCACCGGAUCCGGAUUCACCUUGCUGCUAAUGGAGCGUCUGUCUGUCGACUUCGGUAAUUAGUCCAACCCAGUGUUCGUCAUUUAACCCGGAUCUCAACUUCCCCGGACUGAUCAAACCCUACAGAUACAACUGUUUUUCGUCCAAUGCGUCAAUCUGUAAUUUAUGACGGGAAACGGCACAUUUAUGUGAAUAAA